RNAcentral lists this ribosomal RNA (334 nucleotides) under uncultured bacterium. Its description in RNAcentral is "bacterial SSU rRNA". It matches the Rfam family "Bacterial small subunit ribosomal RNA", at positions 173 to 507 of the family's 1533-position model. The record is from RNAcentral.
UAGUAUGUGAGGAUGGCAUCAUUUCACAUUAAAGUCACAACGGCAAAAGAUGAGCAUGCGUCCCAUUAGCUAGUUGGUAAGGUAACGGCUUACCAAGGCUACGAUGGGUAGGGGUCCUGAGAGGGAGAUCCCCCACACUGGUACUGAGACACGGACCAGACUCCUACGGGAGGCAGCAGUGAGGAAUAUUGGACAAUGGGCGCAAGCCUGAUCCAGCCAUGCCGCGUGCAGGAUGACGGUCCUAUGGAUUGUAAACUGCUUUUGUACAGGAAGAAACACUACUUCGUGAAGUAGCUUGACGGUACUGUAAGAAUAAGGAUCGGCUAACUCCGUG